AAUGAUGAUAUCAAUUUUGUGUUAUCAUUCUGUCCAUUAUUUCCUGGAACUCACCUGUUGUCCUUUACUACAAGAUACAAGAUGUUGAGGAAGAGGCAUAUCGUGAUGGCCUAGAAGCACAAGUUGCAAAUGACGGCGUUUCCAGAGACAAAGAGAAGGGGUCUGAAGAUUACUAUCUUAGCUUCACUCAACUCUUGACGGGACCAGUUCCAUAUGAUCUUUUAACCGGGUCAUAGUGAUGCACUUCUAUUUCAUGUCUUUCUAUAUUGUUCAUUCUAUAAAGAAGCAAGCAACCUAGGAGCAUUUCCGAGUCACAAAGAAGCAAAGCAACCAGGAGCAUUAUUUUGCCUUCUUUCCUUUCGGGAGACCGAGGGAGGAGUACGCCAGCGUUGGUAGCGUGUGCGGCUGUACACCUGUGGCCGCCUUCUGUUCCGCGACGUGUGUUCUGCUGUACGCUAGCGAGCUGAGAAGACGGCGUCGCGAUCCGGAUUCAAUACCCGUCACUACGGUACCAGCCAUUUUCCCAUCUGGAUACGUGCAUUACAUAUUUAUGGAUACUGUUGGCCGUUGCGGAUCGUUUUUAACUGGGAGAUGCUGACGGAGAAUGCUUCUUCUGACGGACAAGUCUGAACAGACGCCAUUUUCCCCACUUGUGAAGCACGAUGUUUUAAAGCUCCCAGGGAAUUUUUCAAGUCAAACAAGUUUGAAGGGAUUUCACAACCGAUCUGAUCCUGGUUGCUUUGUUUGACCAUCGGAUCCCUUUUCCUCACCAACUUGCCUGGAGAUCCGCAACCGCAACAUGCGGCGCUUGCGUCGAUGGUCAAAUCUGGCGUUCCAUCUAAGCGAAACUGACACUACUGCAUACUUAUCUCUCCGUUAUUGUUACUGUUGUUGCUGCUGUGCCCAUCAAAACUCGCUCAUUCCAUACCCUCCAAAAAAGCUCAUCAACAGUUCAAAUCCAAAUCCCUCGAGAGAUUGAUCUUCCACACGCUUGUGUGUGUUAGAAGGGAAACAUGUAACUGCCGCGUCAACUGCUAAAGUGCCACUACAUGUAACCCGGACGUCGACGUCAGUAGACCUGUCACUACAUUAC
Long non-coding RNA from Triticum aestivum (bread wheat), 1093 nucleotides. RefSeq lists it as uncharacterized. The transcript has 2 exons. The record is from RefSeq and is a predicted model, not a curated record. NCBI's taxonomy places the organism in Eukaryota, Viridiplantae, Streptophyta, Magnoliopsida, Poales, Poaceae.